GCUAGCAGCCAUGCCGCGUGUAUGAAGAAGGCCUUCGGGUUGUAAAGUACUUUCAGCGGGGAGGAAGGCGUAUAAGGUUAAUAACCUUGUUCAUUGACGUUACUCGCAGAAGAAGCACCGGCUAACUCCGUGCCAGCAGCCGCGGUAAUA
RNAcentral lists this ribosomal RNA (150 nucleotides) under uncultured bacterium. RNAcentral describes it as "partial 16S ribosomal RNA". It matches the Rfam family "Bacterial small subunit ribosomal RNA", at positions 384 to 525 of the family's 1533-position model. The record is from RNAcentral.